CUUAGGACCGUUAUAGUUACGGCCGCCGUUUACUGGGGCUUCAGUUCAGAGCUUCGCUUACGCUAACCCCUCUCCUUAACCUUCCAGCACCGGGCAGGUGUCAGCCCCUAUACUUCGCCUUACGGCUUCGCAGAGACCUGUGUUUUUGCUAAACAGUCGCUUGGGCCUAUUCGCUGCGGCUUUCCGUUAAGAAAGCACCCCUUCUCCCGAAGUUACGGGGUCAUUUUGGCGAGUUCCUUAACCAGAGUUCUCUCGCACACCUUAGGAUUCUCUCCUCGCCUACCUGUGUCGGCU
This 294-nucleotide ribosomal RNA is filed under the name Bacillus mycoides. Its description in RNAcentral is "partial 23S ribosomal RNA". The record is from RNAcentral. Lineage: Bacteria; Bacillati; Bacillota; Bacilli; Caryophanales; Bacillaceae.